AUUGAACGCUGGCGGCAUGCUUUACACAUGCAAGUCGAACGGUAGAGGGGGCAACCCCUUGAGAGUGGCGAACGGGUGAGUAAUGCAUCGGAACGUGCCCAGUCGCGGGGGAUAACGCAGCGAAAGCUGUGCUAAUACCGCAUACGAUCUCUGGAUGAAAGCGGGGGACCGAAAGGCCUCGCGCUAUUGGAGCGGCCGAUGUCAGAUUAGGUAGUUGGUGGGGUAAAGGCCUACCAAGCGAACGAUCUGUAGCUGGUCUGAGAGGACCCACAGCCACACUGGGACUGAGACACGGCCCAAACUCCUACGGAGGGCAGCAGUGGGGAAUUUUGGACAAUGGGCGCAAGCUUGAUCCAGCAAUGCCGCGUGCAGGAAGAAGGCCUUCGGGUUGUAAACUGCUUUUGUACGGAACGAAACGGUCUGGGUUAAUACCCUGGGCUAAUGACGGUACCGUAAGAAUAAGCACCGGCUAACUACGUGCCAGCCGCCGCGGUAA
Molecule: ribosomal RNA, 496 nt
Filed under: uncultured bacterium
Lineage: Bacteria
Description: partial 16S ribosomal RNA
Rfam family: Bacterial small subunit ribosomal RNA
Source: RNAcentral